UGGAUCAAAGUUAAUUUCGAUGGUUCUUUCCAGCACGAUAUAGCUACAAUGCAUGGUUAUGAUGGAAAUUAACGUGGUUCCAAAUGGUAAUAUAAAGAAGAAUAGGCAACACUAGUGUUGUUAUUGCAGAAUACCAAGCUCUAAACGAUGCUCUUGCUUAUGAACUGAGUAGAGAGUGCAGAAAGCCACAGUGGAAGGAGACUCCCUUAAAUUAGUCAUUGGUUAUGUUAAUACGAAGAUGAAGGUCC
RNAcentral lists this long non-coding RNA (248 nucleotides) under Prunus persica (peach). Its description in RNAcentral is "long non-coding RNA (PPER_LNC000051)". Lineage: Eukaryota; Viridiplantae; Streptophyta; Magnoliopsida; Rosales; Rosaceae. The record is from RNAcentral.